GACGAACGCUGGCGGCGCGCCUAACACAUGCAAGUCGAACGAGCGAGAGAGAGCUUGCUUUCUCGAGCGAGUGGCGAACGGGUGAGUAACGCGUGAGGAACCUGCCUCAAAGAGGGGGACAACAGUUGGAAACGACUGCUAAUACCGCAUAAGCCCACGACCCGGCAUCGGGUAGAGGGAAAAGGAGCAAUCCGCUUUGAGAUGGCCUCGCGUCCGAUUAGCUAGUUGGUGAGGUAACGGCCCACCAAGGCGACGAUCGGUAGCCGGACUGAGAGGUUGAACGGCCACAUUGGGACUGAGACACGGCCCAGACUCCUACGGGAGGCAGCAGUGGGGAAUAUUGCACAAUGGGGGAAACCCUGAUGCAGCGACGCCGCGUGGAGGAAGAAGGUCUUCGGAUUGUAAACUCCUGUUGUUGAGGAAGAUAAUGACGGUACUCAACAAGGAAGUGACGGC
RNAcentral lists this ribosomal RNA (456 nucleotides) under uncultured bacterium. RNAcentral describes it as "bacterial SSU rRNA". It matches the Rfam family "Bacterial small subunit ribosomal RNA", at positions 28 to 497 of the family's 1533-position model. The record is from RNAcentral.